This is an RNA transcript of Drosophila elegans, 1536 nucleotides long. It is a transcript of the gene named zinc finger protein 502, with no coding region annotated. Lineage: Eukaryota; Metazoa; Arthropoda; Insecta; Diptera; Drosophilidae. The transcript is spliced from 3 exons. The record is from RefSeq and is a predicted model, not a curated record.
GCACUGCCUCUGACCCGCGCUUUUCAACACUGGCAGUCUUAUUAGUUUACAAACAAAAUGCUUAAAUAAUAAAUUUAGCAUGUAGAAUCCAAGGACAUGGCACCUCAGCUCUCGAAUGGUCAGCAUUAUGUGGAAAGUGCCCGGGUGUACAUGAAAAAGGACUCAUCCAUUCGCAUAAAGUGCUGUCUCUGCAAAGCGGACACUUUUGCCGGUGGCGAGUGGGAGGAUUUCCUGAGACACCUAGUUCAAAAGCAUGGAGCAGCCGGCCAGGUGAAUGGAGAUGUGGAUGAGAUCCAGGACGAGGUCCAGGUGGAGCUGGCCAACCUCUCAGAGGCGGGCAUUGGCCAGGAACCCGAAGUGGCAGAGCACCAGGAGCCGGAAUUGUUCACCAAUGUGGAGUUUCUUGAAGACGAACAGGUUAACGAUGAACUUAGUUCUCUUUCUGAAGAAGAGUCGAAUCAGGAUGAGCCUGGAAAGAUUAGCCAGCAAGACUACAUUCUCAACAGACCCAACAAGCCCUUCUACAGCCUCCAACGCACUAGACCUGAGAUAAUUCACUAUUUCAUAGAACUUCUGCGCCGGCACAAGUUCCUGUGGAGCAGCCACCGUGGAACUAACCGAGACGAUCGCCUGAGGAGUUCGCAACAAGUGGCAGAGGCACUGUUCCAUCGGUUUGGCUUCCAGCUGCAGCCCCAGGUGAUCGGUGCCAGUGCCCGUUUCCUGCAGGUCUGGUUCGAGCGGCAGUAUGUGAUGCAGCUGAGCAACUCCGACUUUCGCUGCCGCCACCCGAAGUACUACCGCAGCUUGCUGAGAUUCAUGCCCACGAGCCACAUCUCGGUGACCAUUUGCGAGGAGUGCGACAGGCGUUUCCUCAACGAUCUUCAGCUGCGGCUGCACAAGUUCCGCGUUCACGACGGACCCAAUCCGAAUGUGUGCCAGGUGUGCCACCAAGGAUUCCCGCUCGCUUCCAAGCUGCAGCAGCACCAGGCGCGUUAUCACUUCAAGCCGCAAGAGUGGCAGUGCGGCCAGUGCGCCUACAACGCCCCCUCCAAGUGGGACUUCCAUCAGCACCAGGCCAUGCAUGCGGGGGAGCGGAACUACACCUGCGAGGUGUGCGGGCACAGCUGCAAGACCAGCUCUGCCUUGGCCGUGCACCGGCGCACCCACGACCAGCCGAGAUUGGCCUGUCCCCACUGUAGCCGGCAAUUCCGAGAGAAUUACACUUUGAAGUGCCACAUCCGAAAAUUCCACGAGGGCGACAGUGUGCGCAGGUUCUCCUGCAGCGUCUGCCGGCGGAGAUUUCAGACCAUGGAGGUGCUGGAGCUGCACAAGCUGGUACACGCCGAGAGGGCAGAAGAGGAAUCAGAGGAGGAGGAGGACCCUUAGGGACUGAAAGUUGAUGAAACCAAGGGUCUACACUUAUGAUAAGAAAACAAAUCUCCUCCAGCUAUUAAACUUAUUAUCACCACGUUUUCGCCUCGUAUCAGGAUCUGUGGCAGAUGCCGCACUAUCUCCACGUUCUUUCGGUUCAAACUU